RNAcentral lists this ribosomal RNA (253 nucleotides) under uncultured bacterium. Its description in RNAcentral is "partial 16S ribosomal RNA". It matches the Rfam family "Bacterial small subunit ribosomal RNA", at positions 524 to 776 of the family's 1533-position model. The record is from RNAcentral.
UACGUAGGGUGCAAGCGUUGUCCGGAAUUAUUGGGCGUAAAGAGCUCGUAGGCGGUUUGUCGCGUCGAAUGUGAAAACCCGGGGCUCAACCCCGGGCCUGCAUUCGAUACGGGCAGACUAGAGUCCGGAAGAGGAGAGUGGAAUUCCUGGUGUAGCGGUGAAAUGCGCAGAUAUCAGGAAGAACACCCGUGGCUAAGGCGGCUCUCUAGUACGGUACUGACGCUGAGACGCGAAAGCGUGGGGAGCGAACAGG